GCUCAAGAAGAUAGCUCAGUGGGUAAAGCAUGAGACUCUUAAUAUCAGGGUCAUGGGUUUGAGCUUCAUGUGGGGCA
Molecule: non-coding RNA, 77 nt
Organism: Podarcis lilfordi (Lilford's wall lizard)
Lineage: Eukaryota; Metazoa; Chordata; Lepidosauria; Squamata; Lacertidae
Source: the annotation of a GenBank genome assembly